UGGUGACAAUAGCCUUGUGGAACCACCUGAUCCCAUCCCGAACUCAGCAGUGAAACGCAAACGCGCCGAUGGUAGUGUGGGGUCUCCCCAUGUGAGAGUAGGUCAUCGCCAAGCG
Molecule: ribosomal RNA, 115 nt
Filed under: Shewanella morhuae
Lineage: Bacteria; Pseudomonadati; Pseudomonadota; Gammaproteobacteria; Alteromonadales; Shewanellaceae
Source: RNAcentral